UCGGUAGCUCAGUUGGUAGAGCAACGGAUUGAAGCUCCGUGUGUCGGCGGUUCGAUUCCGUCCCGCGCC
This 69-nucleotide transfer RNA is filed under the name Limosilactobacillus reuteri. It matches the Rfam family "tRNA", at positions 5 to 66 of the family's 71-position model. From Rfam's summary of the family: Transfer RNA (tRNA) molecules are approximately 80 nucleotides in length. Their secondary structure includes four short double-helical elements and three loops (D, anti-codon, and T loops). Further hydrogen bonds mediate the characteristic L-shaped molecular structure. tRNAs have two regions of fundamental functional importance: the anti-codon, which is responsible for specific mRNA codon recognition, and the 3' end, to which the tRNAs corresponding amino acid is attached (by aminoacyl-tRNA synthetases). tRNAs cope with the degeneracy of the genetic code in two manners: having more than one tRNA (with a specific anti-codon) for a particular amino acid; and 'wobble' base-pairing, i.e. permitting non-standard base-pairing at the 3rd anti-codon position. The record is from RNAcentral. Lineage: Bacteria; Bacillati; Bacillota; Bacilli; Lactobacillales; Lactobacillaceae. RNAcentral also lists the same sequence under 11 other names.